Molecule: ribosomal RNA, 326 nt
Filed under: uncultured eukaryote
Lineage: Eukaryota
Description: partial 18S ribosomal RNA
Rfam family: Eukaryotic small subunit ribosomal RNA
Source: RNAcentral
CCCUUAGAUGUUCUGGGCCGCACGCGCGCUACACUGAUGAAUUCAACGAGCACUAACCUGUGCCGAAAGGUUCGGGUAAUCUUGUGUAAUUUCAUCGUGAUGGGGAUUGAUUAUUGCAAUUUUUAAUCAUAAACGAGGAAUGCCUAGUAAGCGUGAGUCAUCAGCUCACGUUGAUUACGUCCCUGCCCUUUGUACACACCGCCCGUCGCUCCUACCGAUUGAAUGUGCCAGUGAAAAGUUCGGAUUGGAGAUAGGAAACGGCAACGUAUCCUAUUUCCGAGAAAAUCUUUAAACUUUCCCAUUUAGAGGAAGGAGAAGUCGUAACA